ACCUCGAUGUCGGCUUAACUCAUCCACAUGAAUGUAGAAAUCAUGAAGGGUUCGACUGUUCGUCGAUUAAAGAGUUACAUGAGCUGGGUUUAAUACGUCGUGAGACAGUAU
Trichophyton equinum CBS 127.97 is the source of this 111-nucleotide non-coding RNA. The record is from Rfam. NCBI's taxonomy places the organism in Eukaryota, Fungi, Ascomycota, Eurotiomycetes, Onygenales, Arthrodermataceae.